RNAcentral lists this unclassified non-coding RNA (152 nucleotides) under uncultured Sordariomycetes. RNAcentral's name for it is "sequence contains ITS1". The record is from RNAcentral. Lineage: Eukaryota; Fungi; Ascomycota; Sordariomycetes.
CAGAGUUCUUUGCAACUCCCAACCCUGUGAACCAUACCAAUUUUUUGUUGUUGCUUCUGGCAGCGCCUUCUUGGGGCGUCUGCCAGCGGCGACCUGCUCCAACCUUCUUUUGUCUCUUUUCCUGUCUGAGCACUAAAAAAACAAAUAAAUCA